RNAcentral lists this ribosomal RNA (367 nucleotides) under uncultured bacterium. RNAcentral describes it as "bacterial SSU rRNA". It matches the Rfam family "Bacterial small subunit ribosomal RNA", at positions 150 to 507 of the family's 1533-position model. The record is from RNAcentral.
GGGGAAACUACAAGCUAAUACCGCAUGCGCCCGUACGGGGAAAGGCGGGGGACCGUUCGGGCCUCGCACUAUUGGAUGAGCCUAUGUCAGAUUAGCUUGUUGGUGGGGUAACGGGCCUACCAAGGCGACGAUCUGUAGCUGGUCUGAGAGGACGAUCAGCCACACUGGGACUGAGACACGGCCCAGACUCCUACGGGAGGCAGCAGUGGGGAAUAUUGCACAAUGGGCGAAAGCCUGAUGCAGCAAUGCCGCGUGUGUGAAGAAGGCCUGCGGGUUGUAAAGCACUUUCAGUAGGGAGGAAACAGUAGCCGGUUAAUAUCCGGUUGCCUUGACGUUACCUACAGAAGAAGCACCGGCUAACUCUGUG